AUACAGAGGGUGCGAGCGUUAAUCGGAAUUACUGGGCGUAAAGCGCGCGUAGGCGGCUUGAUAAGUCGGAUGUGAAAGCCCCGGGCUUAACCUGGGAAUUGCAUUCGAUACUGUCAGGCUAGAGUAUGGUAGAGGGUAGUGGAAUUCCGGGUGUAGCGGUGAAAUGCGUAGAUAUCCGGAGGAACACCAGUGGCGAAGGCGGCUACCUGGACCAAUACUGACGCUCAGGUGCGAAAGCGUGGGGAGCAAACAGGAUUAGAAACCCCAGUAGUCC
This 274-nucleotide ribosomal RNA is filed under the name uncultured bacterium. RNAcentral's name for it is "partial 16S ribosomal RNA". It matches the Rfam family "Bacterial small subunit ribosomal RNA", at positions 523 to 796 of the family's 1533-position model. The record is from RNAcentral.